Molecule: ribosomal RNA, 467 nt
Filed under: uncultured bacterium
Lineage: Bacteria
Description: partial 16S ribosomal RNA
Rfam family: Bacterial small subunit ribosomal RNA
Source: RNAcentral
GACGAACGCUGGCGGCGUGCUUAACACAUGCAAGUCGAACGGAAAGGCCUCUUUCGGGGGGUACUCGAGUGGCGAACGGGUGAGUAACACGUGAGUAACCUGCCCUUGACUUUGGGAUAACUUCAGUAAACUGGGGCUAAUACCGGAUAGGAGCUCCUGCUGCAUGGUGGGGGUUGGAAAGUUUCGGCGGUUGGGGAUGGACUCGCGGCUUAUCAGCUUGUUGGUGGGGUAGUGGCUUACCAAGGCUUUGACGGGUAGCCGGCCUGAGAGGGUGACCGGCCACAUUGGGACUGAGAUACGGCACAGAUUCCUACGGGAGGCAGCAGUGGGGAAUAUUGCACAAUGGGUGGAAGCCUGAUGCAGCAACGCCGUGUGCGGGAUGACGGCCUUCGGGUUGUAAACCGCUUUCGCUCAUGACGAAGCUUUGUGUGACGGUAGUGGGUAAAGAAGCACCGGCUAACUACGUG